RNAcentral lists this ribosomal RNA (429 nucleotides) under Chloroflexota bacterium. RNAcentral's name for it is "Chloroflexi bacterium partial 16S ribosomal RNA". It matches the Rfam family "Bacterial small subunit ribosomal RNA", at positions 355 to 776 of the family's 1533-position model. Lineage: Bacteria; Bacillati; Chloroflexota. The record is from RNAcentral.
UGGGGAAUAUUGCACAAUGGGCGCAAGCCUGAUGCAUCCAUGCCGCGUGUAUGAAGAAGUCCUUCGUGUUGUAAAGUACUUUCAGCGGGGAGGAAGGGAGUAAAGUUAAUACCUUUGCUCAUUGACGUUACCGACAGAAGAAGCACCGGCUAACUCCGUGCCAGCAGCCGCGGUAAUACGGAGGGUGCAAGCGUUAAUCGGAAUUACUGGGCGUAAAGCGCACGCAGGCGGUUGAUUGAGUCAGAUGUGAAAUCCACGGGCUUAACCCGGGAAUUGCAUCUGAUACUGGUCAGCUAGAGUCUUGUAGAGGGGGGUAGAAUUCCAUGUGUAGCGGUGAAAUGCGUAGAGAUGUGGAGGAAUAACGGUGGCGAAGGCGGCCCCCUGGACAAAGACUGACGCUCAGGUGCGAAAGCGUGGGGAGCAAACAGG